AACUAACUUUACCUUGCUUUGCCUCACAACUGCAACGAUGCCAUGCUAUAUGCAACAGGAAUAUAUGCAACAUGAAUAUAUACAACAACUAGUAGAAUUAUUGAUUCUACAAUCAAUCUCGCUAAUCUUAGCUCAUGUCAUCCAACUCUAAGGUUUCCACUACCUUAGGUUAUCACAUUUACCACUAGCCCUCAAGGUUCUAUCUACCUUAUUCCAGCUAGCCACCCGACUCGGCCUCGAGUCAAUCAACAGCGGAUAAUCCGCGCUCUGCCCGGCUCGAGGUGAAGGAUCCUGUCGCAUGCACCUCAGCCUGCAAGCCAAGAACCACAUCGCCCAACGGUCCGCCCGAAGGUCCGUGCACCGUGGUCAGGGAUCCGCCAGUGGGAGAGGAAACAUAGCCGCGUACACCCAUAGCCAAGAUCCCCGAUAGGGAGAGGAACAUGCCGUACACCCUAGCGCUCUUUGUUCUUGCUUAGUCAUAAUCCUCAAAGUUCUUUCCGGUGGGAGAGGAACAUCGCCGCAUACACCCGCGGUCCAAGAACUAUUGAGUUCACAAGUACUGGGAUUCCGGAAUCGACUUCACAAGUCAAGGGUCCAUAUCCAACCCUAUACUAUUGACCUAUCUAGGUCCAAUGCACUUUCCACCCUAGGUCCAACUGAC
RNAcentral lists this long non-coding RNA (661 nucleotides) under Ananas comosus (pineapple). RNAcentral's name for it is "long non-coding RNA (ACOM_LNC026756)". Lineage: Eukaryota; Viridiplantae; Streptophyta; Magnoliopsida; Poales; Bromeliaceae. The record is from RNAcentral.